GAUGAACGCUGGCGGCGUGCUUAACACAUGCAAGUCGAACGAAGCAUUUAGGACAGAUUACUUCGGUUUGAAGUUCUUUAUGACUGUGUGGCGGACGGGUGAGUAACUCGUGUGUGACCUGCCUUGUACUGGGGGAUAGCAGCUGGAAACGGCUGGUAAUACCGCAUAAGCGCACAAUGUUGCAUGACGUGGUGGGAAAAACUCCGGUGGGAUAAGAUGGACCCGCUUCGGUUUAGGUAGUUGGUGAGAUAACAGCCCACCAAGGCGACGAGCAGUAGCCGACAGGAGAGGGGGACCGGUCACAGUGGGACUGCGACACGGCCCAGACUCCUACGGGAGGGAGCAGUGGGGUAUAUUGCACAAUGAAGGAUACUCUGAUGCCGCGACGCCGCGUGAGUGAAGAAGUAAUUCGUUAUGUAAAGCCCUAUCAGCAGGGGAGAGAGUGACGGUACCUGACUAAGAAGCUCCGGCUAAAUACGUG
Molecule: ribosomal RNA, 481 nt
Filed under: uncultured bacterium
Lineage: Bacteria
Description: partial 16S ribosomal RNA
Rfam family: Bacterial small subunit ribosomal RNA
Source: RNAcentral